Molecule: ribosomal RNA, 617 nt
Filed under: uncultured bacterium
Lineage: Bacteria
Description: bacterial SSU rRNA
Rfam family: Bacterial small subunit ribosomal RNA
Source: RNAcentral
CCUACGGGAGCAGCAGUGGGGAAUAUUGGACAAUGGGCGCAAGCCUGAUCCAGCCAUGCCGCGUGUGUGAAGAAGGCCUUCGGGUUGUAAAGCACUUUUAUCCGGAAAGAAAAGCUUUGGGUUAAUACCCUGAAGUCAUGACGGUACCGGAAGAAUAAGCACCGGCUAACUUCGUGCCAGCAGCCGCGGUAAUACGAAGGGUGCAAGCGUUACUCGGAAUUACUGGGCGUAAAGCGUGCGUAGGUGGUUUGUUAAGUCUGAUGUGAAAGCCCUAGGCUCAACCUGGGAAUUGCAUUGGAUACUGGCAGGCUAGAGUGCGGUAGAGGAUAGUGGAAUUCCCGGUGUAGCAGUGAAAUGCGUAGAGAUCGGGAGGAACAUCUGUGGCGAAGGCGACUAUCUGGGCCAGCACUGACACUGAGGCACGAAAGCGUGGGGAGCAAACAGGAUUAGAUACCCUGGUAGUCCACGCCCUAAACGAUGCGAACUGGAUGUUGGGUGCAACUAGGCACUCAGUAUCGAAGCUAACGCGUUAAGUUCGCCGCCUGGGGAGUUACGGUUCGCAAGCUGAACUUCAAAGGAUUGACGGCUUGAGCGNGCGAGCGACGACGAGGAGGAGG